Pundamilia nyererei is the source of this 2603-nucleotide RNA transcript. RefSeq lists it as uncharacterized. The record is from RefSeq and is a predicted model, not a curated record. NCBI's taxonomy places the organism in Eukaryota, Metazoa, Chordata, Actinopteri, Cichliformes, Cichlidae. The transcript is spliced from 4 exons.
CAGCUGCUUUCAAUAACUUCGAUUGCAAUCAGUGGAAGCAGAAUGUGAGAAGGUUUUGUGUCCCCUCUGGUACCUUUCCUGCCGCUGUGGCUUCACUCAGAGCAUGAGUGAUUAUUUUGCUGGUCAGAAGCUUUAAUCAUUAUUUUGCUGCAGGUAGAGUCUGUAGUUUAACUCACUCUCAUGGCUCUUUCAUUCAGGCUCUCCUGGCUUUGCACUCUGUUGUGGAGCUGCUUGUGCUUUCCUCCUCAAGAAGGUUACAGUACUGCACAUGGCUACUAUCUCUAUGAGAGCCCCCAAACCUCUAGCACAUUUCAUUCUGGACAAUCUUUGAAUACAAACAAUGAGAAUGUUGGACGGCAAAGCUUUGUUUCCCGUCAGCCAGAAGCAUUUAUUGAUGAUAAAGGACAGGAUGCUAACGCUGAGAUGAAGCAAAGCCAGCCUGAUAAAUUUCACGGGGCCUCUUCUGCUCCUCUCAUAGGGCAAAAUGAGCAGUCUGGUUAUCACCAUCCCUUUGACUUGUUAGUGAGGGGACACACGCAGGAGCCUGUGAAGGGUGUCGCUUUCCCCACAAUGAGUCAUUUAAAGGAGUUUAUAGAAAACAUGAAGCGUUCCUUCUUAGUACCAGGAAGUGACUUGAGUAGACAUUUUGAAACUGCACGGGAAAAAAUGAAAACUCUCGGAACAUCCAUGGACUAUGGACCAACUCCUGACAAAGGAGGUACUGCCUCUGGUGACAGCAGGAUAAAUAACGAUCGGAUUGAAGAAGGUGCCAACUACCAAACGCCAAAUAAACGCCUCUCUUUCCCUGAUCCUUUCGACUCCUCUGCAAGUCUCAUUUCUUCCAGUGUUUAUGACAACCAAAAAUUUAGGCCGGGCACCACUUUCUACCCACACGAUCAUUUAGCAGCCACAGGUCUUGCUUCAAGAAAUUUGGCGCACGGUUUUCCCUGGGGAAACAAUGACUUAUCUGUGAGUGUGGAGUCAGAACGACACAAACCACCAGAAAAAACACAAUUUCCCUCCAGCUCCUUUCACAGGCACGGUUCUUCCUAUAGUGAACAUGUGACUGCACCCCCUGUGAACCCUGCAAACAGCCCAUCUCAAGAUUUCAGCCAGUAUUCAAGUGAGACCUCAAAUUUAACACCUUAUUGGAAGGAUAUGCUAAAACCAGUACAUGCCUCUUACAGUAGAGCUCCUUUAAUGGGGUACUGGAGACCACCUGGUGGCUUUGAACUCACUAAAGACUUCCACAGAGUAAGUCAAACUGAUGUCCCACCUGCAAAAAACCUACCAUCUGCAUAUUCCUAUGGCAAAAAGCAUCCCCUUUCCAUGCAGCAUUAUUGGCCCAAAUACAAGACAAGAAUAGGUGCUUCAGUCCAGCCGGGUAAACCCACUGACAGCAAAGAGUUAAGGACUGUAAAAUAUGCUUCCAACAUUCACUGGCCUCCAAGUGGUUCUGUCUCUUUAAGCUUUAAUGACCCGUUACCCCAAUGGAGAAGAGGUCACAUGGGUUAUCAAAGCAGCCCACAAUACCCGCAAAUUCCUCAUUAUAAGCAAAAACAGAUGGACAGAGCUCGCUGGAUGUUUACCGCCAAACCCUUGAGUUUUGUUCCCGGAUACCAGAAAGUCAGUGCUGUUCCCUUCGUCCUAAAUGCCGGUGCAAAACAUGAGAAUUCAAACCUCUACAAUCAAGAACUCUUUUCUGCCUUUCAGAAACCACAUUACAAUAGAUUGAGAAAUCCACCCCAGAGUGGGCUUACAUCUUAUGGAGUAAGAAACACACUGGGCUCAUUCUCUAAACCACAAAGGCAAACUGUGAGGUCUGAACGUUUACGGCCUUUCAUGCAAUCAAACAGGCACAUGCCUCGAGUCAGUGUGAGUCGACGGCCCAGACACUUGGCCAACUGGCCUUCUGAACAGCAGCCUAAGCCUACAGGUUUGAUGCCUAAGUGUGUGAUUAAGAGGAACACAAAAAGCCUUCUUCCUCAAGAGUCCCGUAAUACAUCUCCAUCAUCGCCAUACGUUAAAUCCAAAAACCGCUUCACACGGGCCGUAGCAUAUCUGUCAAAGGUCUGUUUCACAUCUCGUACGGUGCAAGGGAAGAGUAAUAACAAUCAGUGGAGACUGGUCAGAAGAUGGCAUGAAUGAAAGGACACGAUAACUCAAUGUGCAAGACCGGGAAGAAUGAUGAACACAUUUUUGAAGAGAAGUCUCCCUCUACAUUAAGAUGCAUUCACUCAGUCCAGUGAAUACAUGGAGGCUCUGCUCUUUGCCUGUUGCCAUGGUGAAUCCUGGUACUAGAGCUCUGCUGAUGGCUAUUUUUCACUGCUUAUGCACAGGCUUAACUUGAGCUGAACAUAUUCAGCUGAUUGAACUUUCUAGAACUACAAGCAGCAGCUCAGCAUUAAUCAAGUUGGAGUUUGUUGAACCUGCUUCUAAAACAGAUCCCAUUAAGGCUGUAGCUGAAGUCUUGCUUUUGAAAGUCACUUUAAUGGUAACUUAAGCAUCAAGUCAACCUAAUUAAAGCCACUUGAAAAGAACAUUGGUGGGGAAUGCAAACAAGCAAAGCAUGAGUCAUUGUUUGCAUGUGCUUGAAACAUGUU